GAUGAACGCUGGCGGCGUGCCUAAUACAUGCAAGUCGAGCGAACGGACGAGAAGCUUGCUUCUCUGAUGUUAGCGGCGGACGGGUGAGUAACACGUGGAUAACCUACCUAUAAGACUGGGAUAACUUCGGGAAACCGGAGCUAAUACCGGAUAAUAUUUUGAACCGCAUGGUUCAAUAGUGAAAGACGGUCUUGCUGUCACUUAUAGAUGGAUCCGCGCUGCAUUAGCUAGUUGGUAAGGUAACGGCUUACCAAGGCUACGAUGCAUAGCCGACCUGAGAGGGUGAUCGGCCACACUGGAACUGAGACACGGUCCAGACUCCUACGGGAGGCAGCAGUAGGGAAUCUUCCGCAAUGGGCGAAAGCCUGACGGAGCAACGCCGCGUGAGUGGUGAAGGUCUUCGGAUCGUAAAACUCUGUUAUUAGGGAAGAACAUAUGUGUAAGUAACUGUGCACAUCUUGACGGUACCUAAUCAGAAAGCCACGGCUAACUACGUG
RNAcentral lists this ribosomal RNA (497 nucleotides) under uncultured bacterium. RNAcentral's name for it is "partial 16S ribosomal RNA". It matches the Rfam family "Bacterial small subunit ribosomal RNA", at positions 28 to 507 of the family's 1533-position model. The record is from RNAcentral.